GGUCCACAGUGCUUGCGCCAGUUUCCUGGUGUCCCCGAAUGCUGGACACAAGGGAAUCAAAUCAGGAUUGAGGGACAGGACCCCAUAAUCGGGACUAUCCUGACAAAAUCCCGACUAUUGGGGGCUUAAAUGUGUUCUCUAGUCAGGUGCCCACAAUUUCCAAGUUAUAGGCUAAUCACCAGGGUUAUUCACAAAAUUGGAAACUACCAGAAUUGCAAAUUUAAGGCAAAAAUAGCUGAGUGGGAAACUGAUAGUUUUGGAGAAUUUCCCCACUUUUGGCCUCACUGUUAAACUUCCAUAGUUUAUUUCUGCCUUUCGCACAUUAUUGAAAAACACUUCAACAAUUGCAAUCUGACGGAAAAAAAAAGGUUACAAACAAAAUUAAAUUGUAUAAUAUUCACCACUGGAAUCACUGCAUCACUCAGAUUUGGGUAAAGUUCAAUCAGCACUCCAGAUUCCUGCAUGCAGUGACAAUGAUAUGUUGGAUAUAUAUACGGAUUUACUUAAGCCUUUUCCUCCAGGCUGUUCAAUUUUAGUGAAGGAUUCUUAGCUGCAUGAUCCCAAAGAGGACAGAAAAGCGAGCCAUUUUUAGUAGAGAACAUUACACCUACUCACUUCCAUAAUCAAAAUUAAUUUGUAGCUCAGCAUUCUAAAAAUGGUUUUGGUCCCAGAAAGUGUAUUAGUUGUAAAUUGUAAAAAUCCUUGUUAUCG
Pelobates cultripes (western spadefoot toad) is the source of this 711-nucleotide non-coding RNA. The record is from the annotation of a GenBank genome assembly. NCBI's taxonomy places the organism in Eukaryota, Metazoa, Chordata, Amphibia, Anura, Pelobatidae.